CUGCUCAGUAACACAUGAUCAACUUACCCUAUAGAGAAAAAUAACCUCGGGAUACUGAGGAUAAUAUUUCAUAGUUGAAUAGGCUUGGAAAAGUUUUUCAAUAAAAGGGAUAAAAAAAAUGGUUUUUAUCUGCUAUAGGAUAGGAUCGUGGACGAUUAUGGUUGUUGGUGAGGUAACGGCUCACCAAGCCGAUAAUCGAUAGGGGCCGUGAGAGCGGGAGCCCCGAGAUGGGUACUGAGACAACGACCCAGGCCUUACGAGGCGCAGCAGGCGCGGAACCUCCGCAAUACACGAAAGUGUGACGGGGUUACCCAAAGUGUUCAAUUCUGAACUGUGGUAGGUGAGUAAUGUUCCCUACUAGAAAGGAGAGGGCAAGGCUGGUGCCAGCCGCCGCGGUAAAACCAGCUCUUCAAGUGGUCGGGAUAAUUAUUGGGCUUAAAGUGUCCGUAGCCGGUUUAGUAAGUUCCUGGUAAAAUCGGGUAGCUUAACUAUCUGCAUGCUAGGAAUACUGCUAUACUAGAGGGCGGGAGAGGUCUGAGGUACUACAGGGGUAGGGGUGAAAUCUUAUAAUCCUUGUAGGACCACCAGUGGCGAAGGCGUCAGACUGGAACGCGCCUGACGGUGAGGGACGAAAGCCAGGGGAGCGAACCGGAUUAGAUACCCGGGUAGUCCUGGCCGUAAACGAUGCAUACUAGGUGAUGGUACGGCCAUGAGCCGUAUCAGUGCCGUAGGGAAACCGUUAAGUGUGCCGCCUGGGAAGUACGGUCGCAAGGCUAAAACUUAAAGGAAUUGGUGGGGGAGCACCACAAGGGGUGAAGCCUGCGGUUC
RNAcentral lists this ribosomal RNA (828 nucleotides) under uncultured archaeon. RNAcentral describes it as "bacterial SSU rRNA". It matches the Rfam family "Archaeal small subunit ribosomal RNA", at positions 86 to 903 of the family's 1478-position model. The record is from RNAcentral.